This 561-nucleotide ribosomal RNA is filed under the name Russula sp. Its description in RNAcentral is "SSU rRNA". It matches the Rfam family "Bacterial small subunit ribosomal RNA", at positions 360 to 962 of the family's 1533-position model. The record is from RNAcentral. Lineage: Eukaryota; Fungi; Basidiomycota; Agaricomycetes; Russulales; Russulaceae.
AAUAUUAGUCAAUGCUCGAAAGAGUGAACUAGCUAACUGAAAUCAAUAAUAAUAAUUGAUAACAUAAGGGAAAAUAAUGAUAUUACCUUAUUAUUAGUGUCGUCCAAAAUUGGUGCCAGAAGACUCGGUAAGGCCAAAGACACAAACGUUAAUCGUCUUAAUCAGGCGUAAAGGGUUUGUAGGCGGCUUUAAAAUUUACUUAAAACACAAAAUAUUAAUAAGUAAAGAAUAAAAGCUAGAAUCAAAUAGAGGAUAUAUGAAAUAAUGCUUAGAGUAGGUCUGAUAUCCUUAGAUACUAAGUAGAAUAUUAAAGGCGAAAGCUUUUUUCCAUUAAUGAUUGACGCUCAGAAACGAAGGUGAGGAUAGGAAAUAGGAUUUGAUACCCAGAAUACCCCUCUCUGUCAACGAUGAAUGGUAGUUAUUAAUAAAAAAAAUUAUUAAUUGCAAUGUUAACACGAUAACCAUUCCGCCUUGUGAGUACAACUGCAAAGUUGAAAACAAAAAAAUUAGUCGGUUUCGGAGCAAACGAAGUGAAGCAUGUUAUUUAAUUCGAUAAUCCGC